UGGUCAGGGCCCAAAGCGGACAAUAUCGUGCUACGGUGGUGGAGCGGGCCCGGGAAGUGGUCCCUCCCGGGCCGGGAUGUGACAAUCAAGCUCGUGAGGCUGUGAGAAGCACAGGGGUACCAUUUUCAGCUUGUAGAUGUGUUGGUGAGGUUCCAAGGAGCUUGGGAGUGCAUCGUUGGACGGAAUUGGACGUCGGAUUAGCCUGGUUCGAGUUUGACCGGUUUUGGUAAUUGGUGACAGGUGACACGUAUCCCGAGGACGAGCGUGCACACGCGAGGCAGGGGGGCUACGACCCUUCCACGUACCAGUGAGUGGGCUUUUGAUUUCCGUAUAUACCUAUAUACAUAUAAUUCCCAGAAAUUAGUAUAAAUGCUUAUUAUUUGCAUGCCAUUCCUUUUAUGUUAUUGGUUGAUAUGCAUGAUUGUGGCAUAUAAGUUGAUUUAUAUAUUCAUUCAUAUGUCAUAUAUAUAUGUUGGUGCUGUGGAGGCAUAGGUAAGUGCCAGGUAAGCGUUAUUUAACCCUUGCAUUAAAUAGUGGUUAGAGAUGAUUAGAGAGCUCAUAACCUGCA
Pyrus x bretschneideri (Chinese white pear) is the source of this 568-nucleotide long non-coding RNA. RefSeq lists it as uncharacterized. Lineage: Eukaryota; Viridiplantae; Streptophyta; Magnoliopsida; Rosales; Rosaceae. The transcript has 3 exons. The record is from RefSeq and is a predicted model, not a curated record.